Molecule: microRNA precursor, 76 nt
Filed under: Poecilia formosa (Amazon molly)
Lineage: Eukaryota; Metazoa; Chordata; Actinopteri; Cyprinodontiformes; Poeciliidae
Description: miRNA (ENSPFOG00000021363.1)
Source: RNAcentral
GGUUCUGGUCCUGGUCCUGGUCCUGGUCCUGGUUCUGGUCCUGGUCCUGGUCCUGGUCCUGGUCUUGGUUCUGGAC